GUUCCCGAGGGCUGAUGUCACACAGCCUGGGUUCUGCGGGGUCUGAGAGACCAGUCGGGGCCUGUCCACUCAGCAAGCUCUGGCCGGAGACGGUGCUUCAGAAAGUCAGGUGCGUGCGCGACGCUCGCGAUCAUGAUCGCUGUGGACUUGGAGGUUAUGAUCGCGGUCGGCGUCUGCUUGCUGGUCGUCGCGUGGGUGCUGAUGUGCUGCUUCGUCUGUCUCUGCUGCAAAGUGUCCAAAGCCCUGGAGUGAGCGCGGACGGAGAGAGGCGGAGGGGACCGCGUCACCGGCUGGGCCGCGCCCUGCUGACCACCUCCACUUGUAAGAAAUGGGCUUGAGAAAAAGAUCUAAUCUCCUGUUUAUUAGAAAACCUCCGAAGGGAAACAGGACAACGGCGUCGGCAUGAAAGGCAGGAGACAUGGUUUGGAGGAAGGCCACCCGGGGACUGGGCUGGCUCCCUACUGUGCGGCCCCCAGCGACGGAGCCUCAGGGCGGUCCGAUGGCCGUUGUCCGGAGAGGUGGCCUCCCCCGUGUCCCUGGGCCACAGCCCCGUCGUGUGAAAUACAGGCUGUUUACGCGGA
Suricata suricatta (meerkat) is the source of this 581-nucleotide long non-coding RNA. RefSeq lists it as uncharacterized. The transcript has 2 exons. Lineage: Eukaryota; Metazoa; Chordata; Mammalia; Carnivora; Herpestidae. The record is from RefSeq and is a predicted model, not a curated record.